UUACUCCUACGGGAGGCAGCUGUAGGGAAUCUUCCGCAAUGGACGAAAGUCUGACGGAGCAACGCCGCGUGAGUGAUGAAGGUUUUCGGAUCGUAAAGCUCUGUUGUUAGGGAAGAACAAGUGCGAGAGUAUCUGCUCGCACCUUGACGGUACCUAACCAAAAAGCCCCGGCUAACUCCGUGCCAGCAGCCGCGGUAAUUA
This 201-nucleotide ribosomal RNA is filed under the name Bacillus pumilus. RNAcentral's name for it is "16S ribosomal RNA". It matches the Rfam family "Bacterial small subunit ribosomal RNA", at positions 333 to 525 of the family's 1533-position model. The record is from RNAcentral. Lineage: Bacteria; Bacillati; Bacillota; Bacilli; Caryophanales; Bacillaceae.